Molecule: ribosomal RNA, 325 nt
Filed under: uncultured eukaryote
Lineage: Eukaryota
Description: partial 18S ribosomal RNA
Rfam family: Eukaryotic small subunit ribosomal RNA
Source: RNAcentral
CCCUUAGAUGUUCUGGGCUGCACGCGCGCUACACUGAUGCGCUCAACAAGUUUAUGACCUUGCCCGGAAGGGUUGGGUAAUCUUCUUAGCACGCAUCGUGAUAGGGAUAGACUAUUGCAAUUAUUGGUCUUCAACGAGGAAUUCCUAGUAGACGUAGUUCAUCAGACUGCAUCGAUUACGUCCCUGCCCUUUGUACACACCGCCCGUCGCUCCUACCGAUUGAAUGCUCAGGUGAGCCAUUCGGACUUUCAUCAUGCUGGUUUCCAGUUUUGAUGAAGGAAAGUCUUGCGAACCUUAUCAUUUAGAGGAAGGAGAAGUCGUAACA